This 1343-nucleotide ribosomal RNA is filed under the name uncultured bacterium. RNAcentral describes it as "16S ribosomal RNA". It matches the Rfam family "Bacterial small subunit ribosomal RNA", at positions 28 to 1378 of the family's 1533-position model. The record is from RNAcentral.
GACGAACGCUGGCGGCGUGCUUAACACAUGCAAGUCGAACGGAAAGGCCCUGCUUUUGUGGGGUGCUCGAGUGGCGAACGGGUGAGUAACACGUGAGUAACCUGCCCUUGACUUUGGGAUAACUUCAGGAAACUGGGGCUAAUACCGGAUAGGAGCUCCUGCUGCAUGGUGGGGGUUGGAAAGUUUCGGCGGUUGGGGAUGGACUCGCGGCUUAUCAGCUUGUUGGUGGGGUAGUGGCUUACCAAGGCUUUGACGGGUAGCCGGCCUGAGAGGGUGACCGGCCACAUUGGGACUGAGAUACGGCCCAGACUCCUACGGGAGGCAGCAGUGGGGAAUAUUGCACAAUGGGCGGAAGCCUGAUGCAGCAACGCCGCGUGCGGGAUGACAGCCUUCGGGUUGUAAACCGCUUUCGCCUGUGACGAAUCGUGAGUGACGGUAAUGGGUAAAGAAGCACCGGCUAACUACGUGCCAGCAGCCGCGGUGAUACGUAUGGCGCGAGCGUUGUCCGGAUUUAUUGUGCGUAAAAGGCUCCUAAGUGGUUGAUCGCGUCGGAAGUGUAAUCUUGGGGCUUAACCCUGAGCGUGCUUUCGAUACGGGUUGACUUGAGGAAGGUAGGGGAGAAUGGAAUUCCUGGUGGAGCGGUGGAAUGCGCAGAUAUCAGGAGGAACACCAGUGGCGAAGGCGGUUCUCUGGGCCUUUCCUGACGCUGAGGAGCGAAAGCGUGGGGAGCGAACAGGCUUAGAUACCCUGGUAGUCCACGCUGUAAACGGUGGGUACUAGGUGUGGGGUCCAUUCCACGGGUUCCGUGCCGUAGCUAACGCUUUAAGUACCCCGCCUGGGGAGUACGGCCGCAAGGCUAAAACUCAAAGGAAUUGACGGGGCCCCGCACAAGCGGCGGAGCAUGCGGAUUAAUUCGAUGCAACGCGUAGAACCUUACCUGGGUUUGACAUGGAUCGGGAGUGCUCAGAGAUGGGUGUGCCUCUUUUGGGGUCGGUUCACAGGUGGUGCAUGGCUGUCGUCAGCUCGUGUCGUGAGAUGUUGGGUUAAGUCCCGCAACGAGCGCAACCCUUGUUCACUGUUGCCAGCACGUUAUGGUGGGGACUCAGUGGAGACCGCCGGGGUCAACUCGGAGGAAGGUGGGGAUGACGUCAAGUCAUCAUGCCCCUUAUGUCCAGGGCUUCACGCAUGCUACAAUGGCUGGUACAGAGAGUGGCGAGCCUGUGAGGGUGAGCGAAUCUCGGAAAGCCGGUCUCAGUUCGGAUUGGGGUCUGCAACUCGACCUCAUGAAGUCGGAGUCGCUAGUAAUCGCAGAUCAGCAACGCUGCGGUGAAUACGUUCCCGGG